This 207-nucleotide long non-coding RNA is filed under the name Gossypium barbadense (sea-island cotton). RNAcentral describes it as "long non-coding RNA (GBAR_LNC013213)". The record is from RNAcentral. Lineage: Eukaryota; Viridiplantae; Streptophyta; Magnoliopsida; Malvales; Malvaceae.
AUCUAAUCCUUGGUCUAUAAGUAUGUAGGCUAUGGAUGACACCCAAUGUAACUAAGAACCAACUCGCAACUGUACACAUUUGCAACCAUAUUGUCAAUGCAAGACCAAUUCUUUUACGCCUCUCACUUUGUACUAUUAAAGGCAGACGAGCCAUUACUGCAAGAUAUUAAAGUGUUACAUAUCUUUAAAUUGUAGUAAAAGGGUCAC